AGCAAAUAGAUGUCCAGCAGU
Molecule: unclassified non-coding RNA, 21 nt
Filed under: Mus musculus (house mouse)
Lineage: Eukaryota; Metazoa; Chordata; Mammalia; Rodentia; Muridae
Description: oocyte_clustered_small_RNA11121
Source: RNAcentral